This 345-nucleotide ribosomal RNA is filed under the name uncultured bacterium. Its description in RNAcentral is "bacterial SSU rRNA". It matches the Rfam family "Bacterial small subunit ribosomal RNA", at positions 8 to 334 of the family's 1533-position model. The record is from RNAcentral.
AGGGUUUGAUUCUGGCUCAGGACGAACGCUGGCGGCGUGCUUAACACAUGCAAGUCGAACGGAGCACCCUUGACUGAGGUUUCGGCCAAAUGAUAGGAAUGCUUAGUGGCGGACUGGUGAGUAACGCGUGAGGAACCUGCCUUCCAGAGGGGGACAACAGUUGGAAACGACUGCUAAUACCGCAUGACGCAUGACCGGGGCAUCCCGGGCAUGUCAAAGAUUUUAUCGCUGGAAGAUGGCCUCGCGUCUGAUUAGCUAGAUGGUGGGGUAACGGCCCACCAUGGCGACGAUCAGUAGCCGGACUGAGAGGUUGACCGGCCACAUUGGGACUGAGAUACGGCCCAG